RNAcentral lists this small RNA (3725 nucleotides) under Histoplasma capsulatum. RNAcentral describes it as "hypothetical RNA". RNAcentral also lists the same sequence under 1 other name. The record is from RNAcentral. Lineage: Eukaryota; Fungi; Ascomycota; Eurotiomycetes; Onygenales; Ajellomycetaceae.
GCAGCAAGAUCCUCUCAUCGUUGACGGUGUCGCAAAGUGCUCACCUUUCGAGAAGUAUAUAUCCUCUUCUGUACAUACACGACACCCAGAUGUCUGCUAAAAGGCCGGAUGCAGUUAGCCUUGGGUUCAAAAUUUGGCCGGAAAAGAAAUAGGCAAAGAACAGCAGAGAAAAAGGAAAAAGAGCUGGCACGCGAAACAAGUCGAGAAAUCUUUGGUGAACCAACCAAGAAAAGCUCUCUAUUAUGAUAAUCAGAGCAAGUGGGACUUCAUCGGGCAAGUUAUUCCUUCAGAGUCCCAAGCCUCAACCAGGUGCUCCCUGCCAGCGAACCGAUACCGCACCCGCAGCAGUUUUGGACGGAAUGGGAAUGGAUCAUAGAACCCAGGUAUAUGUGACUGCAAUGGCUGAUAUAUUAGUAUUUGGUGUUUGUUAUGUCUGCCUGGUUAAAUGGGGGAAAAACGAAGGCGGAUAGGUUUGAUGGGGAGUUAGAGACCUUAUUGACUCGGCGCGAUAGAACCAACUGUCCCUGAUCAACCAGUGCCGCGACCGGAAUCGUGACAUCUAUCAUGCCUUCUUCAUAGCAUUCGUCAACUGCAGUGGUCCCGUUUUGUUGCUUCUUAUUCUUCAAGGUAGCGGUUGGCGGACAUCCAUAUUCAGCGUGAACGACCACCAACCCGUCUCGAUCAGCUUCCCGAUCCUGCCUUCGCAAGACCUGAUCCCUCAUCAUUGAAACUGCCUGCACGCUUUCUGCUUUCCGCUUCGCAACCAGUUUUGUAAGUCUCUUUUGCAUCUUUGCGAUUUCCUGCUUUUCCCUCCGCCGAGCCCUGGGACGCAGGUAUCCAAAUUCAACCGCUCCAUAGACCGCGGCCGGCAUUAUGACCGCCAAGGUACACAGAUCACCGGUGAUUUUGUCAACGGGACAUAAAGCUAUGGGUAUUUUGAAGGUUUGCCCCAAUCUACUCCAUGAGACGCUGCAACCAAGCCCCAUGCCGCCAAUUGUAGACACUGUCAAUCCCAUGCGGGUGAAUUCGCCAACUCUCCGUGAGCCAGACAGGGACCAGCCCAUGCUGAGGUCACUCUCAAUCACCACGCGAAGUCCUAGCCGUAUGGCACCGCUGCCACUCCGACUUUUGCUGGGAUAAUAACCCUCGCUACUCCACUCGGAACGUAAUGGCUCCGCCGGCUUCCGUGCAAAAAUCGUCCGUCCAUAUUGCAUGGUUAGGUUAACGCCCGCUGGCGACGAACCGAGGUUGAAACCCCAGGUCUCAUUGGGCUCCGGCAGCUGCUGAGGCUGCUUGGGGUGGUUAUGGUCAUGGUCUGGAAAAAGCAUAUCCCUAUCACCUUCAUCCGUCUCGUGAUCAUCGUCAUGUGGGUCUGCAGGUAGCAGUAUUGUCGGCAAGCUUGUGUAUCCGAUCGAAAUGCCACUCAUCGAAUAUAUUCUCAGAAAUUCCCCGUAUUGGUCGCGUUUGCUAGCAUCCAUGAAAAUACCCAUAAGGAAUUCUGGCCAUGAAAGCGAUCCUGAUGACCAGUCACAGGUAACUACACCUGCUGCGCCUACCAUACGUGAUAUUGUUAGGCCAAGAUCGGGAGGGCAUAGCAACGGAGAAGACGAGCACGUAGAUUUCACGAGGCUGGGGUAGAAGAGGAGUAUUGAUGGUCACCACUGCGUCACCGAGAAACGAUAAUAGCGGCCCUUUGAGGAUACUUCGUCUGGAAGGGUCACUGCUGAUGACGUGUGUAAAUGUAGCUCCGAAAUUAACGUUCGCAUUGCGAAUCGUUAGAGGUAUUUGCAUCUACGAAUGCAUUUGAUUUGCAGAUAAUCCAUCACCCGUUGGUGGUUCAUCUCUAUCUUCAUUUCCCUCUCCAUUCGCCGCUGAUUUUGAGGAGUAAAACCAAGAAAGAUCAGGAAGUGGUAUGGGAAGCGCGUAUCCAAGUAAAAACGCUGAUGGCCUCAGGUUGGGUACACGUAUCGAGACAUCUCCGUCCGGUGUAGUCUCGAACAUAGAUGUCGCAUCCACUGAAAGGUGAAUCACUCCCUUGGUCAUGUCAGUAUGUCAAGAACAGAAAAGGGCUCGGGGACAGUGGUGUUGUCAGGUCGGAUAUUUCCAGAGAAGAAUAAACGCAUGCUCCCCGAAAAAGUUCUCUCAUGCUUUCUGAAGGGGCUCAUUCAACAUACACUAGCAUCCACUAGGUCAUUCAAAAUGGCCCUUUCCCGACGCUUCAUGGCCUCCAGAAACCAGCGACGGAAUUCAGCUUCGUCCAUCGCCUUCACCCCGAUUUGCUGGCUUUCAGCGUAUCCGUUUCUACCCAUCAGCCCUCCCUCCGCCCAAGUGUGCCGCACUCCUUCUUCACCCAGCAUGUCAUAUACAACUCGCUUCUUGGGAUCUAACAGAGUCUCAUAUGCGUCACGUAUCUUGUUAUAGUGCGCCGUAGCUGCCUCUCUUAGCGCUUCGGGUUGUUUGUCCGGGUGGAAGCUGAGCGUCAACGUUUUGUAGGCCGAGCGUAUUUGCGCUUCCGUCGGCGGAGGGUCUCGAGCUAAUGCGAGCAAGCUGUAAUAGUCAAUGGUCUCCGGGUAAUCCUUUAAUCGGUCAUAAUCAUUCUCUGAUCCAUCGGAGCAAUGGCCGCCGCCGUUUUCUUCGUCGGCUUUCGGCAUGUUCGCCCCGUUGAUGGCAGAGACAUUUGAGCCAUUGUGCGCGUUCUGUCCGUCAGGGUUGUCAGAGCGGCUUGUCUGUGGCAUUGUCCACAUUUAUCCACCCAUCUAAUCGGAUUUACAGGGCGGGGAAGGUUAUGGUUUGCUCCAGCGCAUUGCUUGGAUAGAGGCUGGCUAUCGGGACGUGGUCGGUCCGGGCAAUCUGCCCGCUGGCCUCUUCCUGGCAAGAAGCUGCAAGAUUUGGCUUUUCUCAAAUAAACUUCACAGCCACAACUACACGCAAAAGCACCAUUCAGGCCUUUUUGAUACUGAAUAAAGAGUCGCAACUGCAUGCUAGCUGUUAUAGAAACCUAUGUUCUAUACAUAGCUAAAAACCCCUAGGGAUGCCAGCGACUGGAUCUAUUAUGGCAAUACACUACAAAGAAAAUAGGUAGUAAGUUCCACUGUGCCUACGGCAGCUGAUUGAUUGUCCAGUUGAAAUUCAUUCACAACCUUCACACAGAGCAGGUCCUCGCGACAAGCAUUAAGCAUUAUAUAUGUCCUUUUUGCCGGAGCUGUAGUGGGUGUUGAUGAUGGAUCUUAUUGUCUCGUUAACUUCCGCCCCAUACCAUGAUCGAGGAGACGUUCUGGCAAUUUCCUUAUCCAUCCCCCUUGUUUUGUUUCGAUAUGCUGUUAACAAGAGAAAGCUUGCGCAAUUUCCUUUGCUCCAAGUAUAAGAGGAGUAGAAUAAGAGAAAGAAAAAUCAUAGCUAUGGCCAGUUGCAUGUAAUAAUUGAAGCCAAACGCUCGCUCUAUAAUCCAAGUGAAGUAUUAAUAGUUGAAAGUUUCUAUAAUCUAGACAAAAAGGAAGGGGUGGAAAUGUUAUGGUCGGGAAAUUGGAGGGUAGCUGAGACCAGCGAACCAUCGACAAACUGGGAUUGAGAAUUGGAAAAUAUACAACAGAAUUGUACAGGGUAACUAUUGCGUAUGGACUAUGACUCGGAAUUUGGAAAACUGAAGUUCAUAACAGUGCAAUGCACGACGAGGGUUUAGGCGCGUCAAAACGUGUAUUGAAACUGGGGGGAAGGUGUUAGGGGGG